AAUCUGCUCUGACCUAACAAAUAAACAAAAAAUGCAAACUAAGCUUAACAUACUAGUUGGAUAGGAUUUGAAUUAGCAGUUUCUCACCCUGACUGAUGAUACAACAGUCCAUCAAGUUUCCAUACACAGUCUAGAAAACCCUUUAGUCUGGGACCAGCACUUGCUC
Dermochelys coriacea (leatherback sea turtle) is the source of this 166-nucleotide long non-coding RNA. RefSeq lists it as uncharacterized. Lineage: Eukaryota; Metazoa; Chordata; Testudines; Dermochelyidae. The record is from RefSeq and is a predicted model, not a curated record. The transcript is spliced from 3 exons.